AUUCCUAUGACACAGUGAGUCAGUACAUCUGGCUGCUAACCAGAAGGUUGGUGGUUCGAGCCCACCUAGGGAUG
This is a non-coding RNA of Podarcis lilfordi (Lilford's wall lizard), 74 nucleotides long. The record is from the annotation of a GenBank genome assembly. NCBI's taxonomy places the organism in Eukaryota, Metazoa, Chordata, Lepidosauria, Squamata, Lacertidae.